AAACUUAAGGAAUUGACGGGACCCGCACAAGCGGUGGAUGAUGUGGUUUAAUUCGAUGCAACGCGAAAACCUUACCCACCUUUGACAUGUACGGAACCCUUUAGAGAUAGAGGGGUGCUCGAAAGAGAGCCGUAACACAGGUGCUGCAUGGCUGUCGUCAGCUCGUGUCGUGAGAUGUUGGGUUAAGUCCCGCAACGAGCGCAACCCUUGUCAUUAGUUGCUACAUUCAGUUGGGCACUCUAAUGAGACUGCCGGUGACAAGCCGGAGGAAGGUGGGGAUGACGUCAAGUCCUCAUGGCCCUUAUAGGUGGGGCUACACACGUCAUACAAUGGCUGGUACAAAGGGUUGCCAACCCGCGAGGGGGAGCCAAUCCCAUAAAGCCAGUCGUAGUCCGGAUCGUAGUCUGCAACUCGACUACGUGAAGUCGGAAUCGCUAGUAAUCGUGGAUCAGAAUGUCACGGUGAAUACGUUCCCGGGUCUU
RNAcentral lists this ribosomal RNA (482 nucleotides) under uncultured Rhodoferax sp. RNAcentral's name for it is "bacterial SSU rRNA". It matches the Rfam family "Bacterial small subunit ribosomal RNA", at positions 897 to 1382 of the family's 1533-position model. Lineage: Bacteria; Pseudomonadati; Pseudomonadota; Betaproteobacteria; Burkholderiales; Comamonadaceae. The record is from RNAcentral.